CAUUAACCUAUAAAAGGACAAAGAGGUGUAGGUCCCUAGCUACGUCGUAAGAUGGCGAUUCUGCAGAAAUAAAGUUGGUGACCGAUUUUUUUUAACUAGGCAAAGUCUAUUGCAAAUAACAUUUUAGAUUACAUUGCAUUUACACUUGUUGAAACUCUGCAUCAUUAAAAUAUAACUUAAUUGUUGGUAGCAUAAUGCUCAACGCACGGUGGGCGGUAUGCACAUGCAGAAGACUGCUUCUAGGGCGCUUUGAAAAGGGCACGAAGACUUGUGUCAUGGCUGCCCUUGUGGGCAAGGGGAACACUGACGACGUUUUUCUUAUUUUGCAAUAUAAAAGUUAAUAGUUAAACUACGUAAAAUGCGUUUAAGUGCGCUAAUGUAACAUGCUGCAUCGUUAAAAUAUUUGGUUUAAUUACAUUUCCGUGUGCCCUUUUGUUGGCUCGAGCCAAUUCUGGGUUAUGCAAUGGCGAUUCGUUGACAUCACAGUGGCGCUCUUGUUGCUGGGGAUUCUAGUAGAUUCUGUAACCAUUUGGAGAAUCGCUGAGGAUCUCGGAGUUUGAAAUUCGAAUGAAUGGCGGGAACGCAUAGUAGACUGUCUGGUCGGAGUAGCGAGCACAGUCAUGUUGCCUGGCAAAUCCCAUUCAUCACGAGUGAAUGAAUGCGUCGGGAGUAGGCGGAGUCGGUAUUCCCCCCUCUCAGUAGAGAUUACAGGCAACAUGGCAAGCGCUGAUGUUGAGGCAGCAGAGCCUAAGAGGAGAUCUGAGAGAUUGGUAAAUAAACCUGCAAUUGCAAAGGCAGAGCCCAAGCCAAAGAAGGAGAAGGCAGCACCUAAACCCAAGAAGGCUAAAGAGGUGAAAAAGACCGAGCCUGAGAAGGAGGUGCCCGCAGAGAAUGGAGAAGCCAAAGCUGAGGAAGAGGCACCAGAAGAACCUGAACAGAAAGAGGAAGAAGAGGCGGCCGAAUAACAUCUCUCAAACCACAUCUUUUAUCAGUGCUCCCUGUACCUCUUUUUCUUGUACAAUUCAGGGGUAUAUUUUUAUCGACUAUUUUCUAAAUGCAGGUUUUUUAGUAGUUUGAUUGUAGAAACACAUUUUUUUAUGAAAUAAAAAAUACAAUUUGAGAUGGGGAUUUCAUUGCAUCCCAUGUUUUUACAUCUCUGGAACAAUUACGGUCAUUGUAAAUGUCAACGGUUUUUAUUUUCGAUAUGGGGGAGGGGUGGGAAUGAGACAGGUUACUACACCAAGAACAUGCAAGCACGUCGUUUACAGGAUCUGGUCAAAACAACAGAGAGCUUGUCUGAGAGACUAACAUUCCAUAGGCUAUAUGAGGGAAGGUAUACGUAACCUGCAUUGUGUGGUGGGGAUGAAUUAACUCAAGGGGGAACACAUUGUUUUAUUGUUUAUAAUGAGGAAAACAUUUUAAGGUGUUUAAACUGUGUUCCAUAUGUUAACUCUUGUACUCAUUAUGUUUUUCUUUACCAUUCUGCUCAAUAAACCUAUUCCCUAGUACUGGAGUUCCUCCCUAUCAGGCCUGUGCAUUGGGUGUAAUUGGUUGGCUCUGUUCUGUGAUAGCAUUGCAAUAAAUUUGUAUAGCUGCUAUUAAAAGGGGUUUUCGACUUUCUAUAUGCAGUGUGUAAUGGUACAUUGUGAGUAUGGUAAAAAUGGAAUUGUGUUCUUAGCCAAGCUAAAGAAGUACAUAAGUUAAAUAUACUGACGAUUAUGGUUCCUUGGAUGCUGAGAAACUGUACAUCCAUUUGAGCUGUCAAAUACACAAACCAGCAGUAGCAAUAUUCAUGUGGGGUUUAGGUAUCAAGUACAAGUGUACAGUUCUUUUAUCCUUUGUUUAUAGAUGUAUCUGUGUAAUGAUUGGUAUAAACAAACCAAUAAAAA
This is a long non-coding RNA of Oncorhynchus tshawytscha (Chinook salmon), 1889 nucleotides long. NCBI's taxonomy places the organism in Eukaryota, Metazoa, Chordata, Actinopteri, Salmoniformes, Salmonidae. The record is from Ensembl.